AGCUAAAAAGGGGUAGCGAUAAGUCGGGUACUGGAGGGUACCGGCCACAUGACUGGAAACGGUCAGAUUCUACGGAGGCAGCAGUGGGAUUUGACAUGGGGCAUCUGAUCAGCAUGCGCGUGCGGACGAGCUCGGGUGUAAAUCGCUUUCGGACGGAAAGAAAUCGCGCAGGCUAAUAUCCUGUGUGGAUGACGGUACCGUAAGAAGAAGCACGGCUAACUACGUGCCAGCAGCCGCGGUAAUACGUAGGGUGCGAGCGUUAAUCGGAAUUACUGGGCGUAAAGCGUGCGCAGGCGGAUAUUUAAGUCAGACGUGAAAUCCCCGGGCUUAACCUGGGAAUUGCGUUUGAAACUGGAUAUCUAGAGUGCGUCAGAGGGGGGUGGAAUUCCACGUGUAGCAGUGAAAUGCGUAGAGAUGUGGAGGAACACCGAUGGCGAAGGCAGCCCCCUGGGAUGACACUGACGCUCAUGCACGAAAGCGUGGGGAGCAAACAGGAUUAGAUACCCUGGUAGUCCACGCCCUAAACGAUGUCAACUAGCUGUUGGGUGCGAGAGUACUCAGUAGCGAAGCUAACGCGUGAAGUUGACCGCCUGGGGAGUACGGCCGCAAGGCUAAAACUCAAAGGAAUUGACGGGGGCUCGCACAAGCAGUGGAGCAUGUGGUUUAAUUCGACGAUAAGCGAAAAACCUCACCAGGGUUUGAAAUCUCGGGAAUCCUCUAGAAAUAGAGGAGUGCCUUCGGGAACCCGAUGACAGGUGCUGCAUGGUUGUCGUCAGCUCGUGCCGUGAGGUGUACCCUUAAGUGGGCUAACGAGCGAAACCCCUAUCCUGUGUUACAAGUGUCACGGGAGACUGCCUCGGUUAACGGGGAGGAAGGUGGGGAUGACGUCAAAUCAGCACGGCCCUUAUGAUCUGGGCUACACACGUACUACAAUGGUGGGUACAAUGGGCUGCGAGACCGCAAGGUGGAGCCAAUCCCAAAAAACCCAUCCCAGUCCGGAUCGGGGUCUGCAACUCGACCCCGUGAAGUCGGAAUCGCUAGUAAUCGGAGAUCAGCAUGCUCCGGUGAAUACGUUCCCGGGCCUUGUACACACCGCCCGUCACACCACGAAAGUUGGUUCUACCCGAAAGCUCCGGGCUAACCGCAAGGAGGCAGGAGUCUACGGUAGGGCCGAUGAUUGGGGUGAAGUCGUAACAAGGUAGCC
RNAcentral lists this ribosomal RNA (1204 nucleotides) under denitrifying bacterium enrichment culture clone NOB_2_A9. RNAcentral's name for it is "partial 16S ribosomal RNA". It matches the Rfam family "Bacterial small subunit ribosomal RNA", at positions 243 to 1501 of the family's 1533-position model. The record is from RNAcentral.